RNAcentral lists this ribosomal RNA (405 nucleotides) under uncultured bacterium. RNAcentral describes it as "partial 16S ribosomal RNA". It matches the Rfam family "Bacterial small subunit ribosomal RNA", at positions 28 to 526 of the family's 1533-position model. The record is from RNAcentral.
GAUGAACGCUGGCAGCGUGCCUAAUACAUGCAGGUCGAGCGAAGCGGGGACGGGUGAGUAACACGUGGAUAACCUCCUAUAAGACUGGGAUAACUUCGGGAAACCGUAGCUAAACUGGUUACUUAUAGAUGGAUCCGCGCUGCAUUGGCUAGUUGGUAAGGUAACGGCUUACAAAGGGAAGGAUGCAUAGCCGAACUGUGAGGGUGAGUGGCCAGACGGGAACGGAGACCCGGCCCAGACUCCUACGGAAGGCAGCAGUAGGGAAUCUUCCGCAAUGGGCGAAAGCCUGACGGAGCAACGCCGCGUGAGUGAUGAAGGUCUUCGGAUCGUAAAACUCUGUUAUUAGGGAAGCGGUACCUAAUCAGAAAGCCACGGCUAACUACGUGCCAGCAGCCGCGGUAAUAC